Molecule: ribosomal RNA, 578 nt
Filed under: Pezizomycetes sp. genotype 63
Lineage: Eukaryota; Fungi; Ascomycota; Pezizomycetes
Description: eukaryotic LSU rRNA
Rfam family: Eukaryotic large subunit ribosomal RNA
Source: RNAcentral
GAUCAGGUAGGGAUACCCGCUGAACUUAAGCAUAUCAAUAAGCGGAGGAAAAGAAACCAACAGGGAUUGCCUUAGUAACUGCGAGUGAAGCGGCAAAAGCUCAAAUUUGAAAUCUGGUACCAUUCGGUGCUCGAGUUGUAAUUUGGAGAGGCAACUUCGGAGAGGGCGUUGGCCUAAGUUCCUUGGAACAGGACGUCACAGAGGGUGAGAAUCCCGUGCUUGACUGACUGUCCCUCUUCAUGUGAAGUGUCUUCGACGAGUCGAGUUGUUUGGGAAUGCAGCUCAAAAUGGGUGGUAAACUCCAUCUAAGGCUAAAUAUUGGCGAGAGACCGAUAGCGCACAAGUAGAGUGAUCGAAAGAUGAAAAGCACUUUGAAAAGAGAGUUAAAAAGUACGUGAAAUUGUUGAAAGGGAAGCGCUUGAGACCAGACUCGGUGAUAGGUGAUCAGCGGUUGCUUCUGCUCCGUGCACUUGCCUUUUACCGGGCCAGCAUCAGUUAUAGCGGUGGGAUAAAGACUCAGGGAAUGUGGCUCCCUUCGGGGAGUGUUAUAGCCCUGGGUGUAAUGCCACCUGUUGUGA